This 301-nucleotide ribosomal RNA is filed under the name uncultured bacterium. RNAcentral describes it as "partial 16S ribosomal RNA". It matches the Rfam family "Bacterial small subunit ribosomal RNA", at positions 509 to 807 of the family's 1533-position model. The record is from RNAcentral.
CAGCCGCCGCGGUAAUACGAAGGGUGCAAGCGUUACUCGGAAUUACUGGGCGUAAAGCGUGCGUAGGCGGUGAGUUAAGUCUGCUGUGAAAUCCCCGGGCUCAACCUGGGAAUGGCAGUGGAUACUGGCUCGCUAGAGUGUGUCAGAGGAUGGUGGAAUUCCCGGUGUAGCGGUGAAAUGCGUAGAGAUCGGGAGGAACAUCAGUGGCGAAGGCGGCCAUCUGGGACAACACUGACGCUGAGGCACGAAAGCGUGGGGAGCAAACAGGAUUAGAUACCCGAGUAGUCCCUGUCUCUUAUAC